AAAAAAAAAUCCUGAGGAGCUAGAUAUACAUCUGCCUAAGAGGUUUAGGUGAAGCUAUGCCUAGCACAAAUUGGGGCAUUUAUACUGGGAAAAAAACAAAUGAACUCUUAAGUUAUCAGCAUUAGUAUCAUUUAAAGAACAAGGCUGAAAAAAGAGAUGAAUGGAUAAAUUGAAAAACAGAGAGCACAGGCUCCAACUGAGCUCUAAAUUAGGAGAUGAAGAACUAUUCAGCUUAAACAGCUUCCCUGCCAAGAAGAAUGAUUUUCCAACCACUACUAACCAGCAAAUGCAGCAUGUUUCUGUGGCCAUAGGUCAAGCUGGAAAACAUUUUUCCAUAAAACCAUGUGCAAUUUCAUGCCAUAGGUGAAAGAAUAGCCCAAAUCCACAAGGUACUGUUAUGUCCUACAAAUUCUUUCACUCAGUCAUUAUUGAUGUGAUUUACAAUUAAUACGUGAUUGUUUUACGUUACAUUAUAUCGUAACACUGUAUUACAUUAUACCAUGCAAAGCCCAAUUAAUGUAUUCUUUUUUAUAUGCAUUGUCAGCAGAAUCUACUAAAGCCUUGAGUGUAUAUGAUGUGUGUUGUGGGCUGAAUUUUGUCCCUCCAAAAUUUUUAUGUUGAAGCCCUAAUUUCUGGAACCUCCGAAUAUGACUGUAUUUAGAGAUAAGACCUUUAAAGAGGCAAUUCAAUUAAAAAUAAGACCAUUAGGUUGAACCCUAAUCUAUUCUGACUGGUGUCCUUAUAUUAAGAGGGAAUUUGGAUGUACAAACAGAACCAAGGAGGUGCAGAACCAGAAGAAAGAUCAUGUGAGAACACCGCUCUAAGUAUCUGCAAGCCAUGGAGAGAGACUUCAAAAGAAACUGAACUCUGACAACACCUCUAUCUCGCUCUUCUAGCC
Pan paniscus (pygmy chimpanzee) is the source of this 898-nucleotide long non-coding RNA. The record is from Ensembl. Lineage: Eukaryota; Metazoa; Chordata; Mammalia; Primates; Hominidae.